Molecule: ribosomal RNA, 495 nt
Filed under: uncultured Glomus
Lineage: Eukaryota; Fungi; Glomeromycota; Glomeromycetes; Glomerales; Glomeraceae
Description: SSU rRNA
Rfam family: Eukaryotic small subunit ribosomal RNA
Source: RNAcentral
CCAAUAGCGUAUAUUAAAGUUGUUGCAGUUAAAAAGCUCGUAGUUGAAUUUCGGGAUCAAUAUGUUGGUCGUGCCUCGGUACGUACUAGCAUAUUGGUUUCUCCUUUCUGAAGAACCAUGAUGUCAUUUAUUUGGUGUCGUGGGGAAUCAGGACUGUUACUUUGAAAAAAUUAGAGUGUUUAAAGCAGGCUCACGCUUGAAUACAUUAGCAUGGAAUAAUGAAAUAGGACGUUUGAUUCUAUUUUGUUGGUUUCUAGGAUCGACGUAAUGAUUAAUAGGGAUAGUGGGGGGCAUUAGUAUUCAAUUGUCAGAGGUGAAAUUCUUGGAUUUAUUGAAGACUAACUACUGCGAAAGCAUUUGCCAAGGAUGUUUUCAUUAAUCAAGAACGAAAGUUAGGGGAUCGAAGACGAUCAGAUACCGUCGUAGUCUUAACCAUAAACUAUGCCGACUAGGGAUCAGACAAUGUUAUUUUAUUGACUUGUUUGGCACCUUAUG